RNAcentral lists this ribosomal RNA (465 nucleotides) under Vreelandella stevensii. RNAcentral's name for it is "partial 16S ribosomal RNA". It matches the Rfam family "Bacterial small subunit ribosomal RNA", at positions 338 to 795 of the family's 1533-position model. Lineage: Bacteria; Pseudomonadati; Pseudomonadota; Gammaproteobacteria; Oceanospirillales; Halomonadaceae. The record is from RNAcentral.
CCUACGGGGUGCAGCAGUGGGGAAUAUUGGACAAUGGGGGGAACCCUGAUCCAGCCAUGCCGCGUGUGUGAAGAAGGCCCUCGGGUUGUAAAGCACUUUCAGUGAGGAAGAACGCCUGGUGGUUAAUACCCAUCAGGGAAGACAUCACUCACAGAAGAAGCACCGGCUAACUCCGUGCCAGCAGCCGCGGUAAUACGGAGGGUGCGAGCGUUAAUCGGAAUUACUGGGCGUAAAGCGCGCGUAGGUGGCUUGAUAAGCCGGUUGUGAAAGCCCCGGGCUCAACCCGGGAACGGCAUCCGGAACUGUCAAGCUAGAGUGCAGGAGAGGAAGGUAGAAUUCCCGGUGUAGCGGUGAAAUGCGUAGAGAUCGGGAGGAAUACCAGUGGCGAAGGCGGCCUUCUGGACUGACACUGACACUGAGGUGCGAAAGCGUGGGUAGCAAACAGGAUUAGAUACCCGUGUAGUC